Molecule: ribosomal RNA, 482 nt
Filed under: uncultured bacterium
Lineage: Bacteria
Description: partial 16S ribosomal RNA
Rfam family: Bacterial small subunit ribosomal RNA
Source: RNAcentral
AUUGAACGCUGGCGGCAUGCCUUACACAUGCAGGUCGAACGGUAACAGGUCUUCGGAUGCUGACGAGUGGCGAACGGGUGAGUAAUACAUCGGAACGUGCCCAGACGUGGGGGAUAACGAGGCGAAAGCUUUGCUAAUACCGCAUACGAUCUAAGGAUGAAAGCAGGGGACCGCAAGGCCUUGCGCGUUUGGAGCGGCCGAUGGCAGAUUAGGUAGUUGGUGGGAUAAAAGCUUACCAAGCCGACGAUCUGUAGCUGGUCUGAGAGGACGACCAGCCACACUGGGACUGAGACACGGCCCAGACUCCUACGGGAGGCAGCAGUGGGGAAUUUUGGACAAUGGGCGAAAGCCUGAUCCAGCAAUGCCGCGUGCAGGAUGAAGGCCUUCGGGUUGUAAACUGCUUUUGUACGGAACGAAAAGGCUCUGGCUAAUACCUGGGGCACAUGACGGUACCGUAAGAAUAAGCACCGGCUAACUACGUG